CGGGGCGUAGCGCAGUCUGGUAGCGUACUUGGUUUGGGACCAAGGGGUCGCAGGUUCGAAUCCUGCCGCCCCGA
RNAcentral lists this transfer RNA (74 nucleotides) under Cytophagales bacterium. Its description in RNAcentral is "tRNA-Pro". It matches the Rfam family "tRNA". From Rfam's summary of the family: Transfer RNA (tRNA) molecules are approximately 80 nucleotides in length. Their secondary structure includes four short double-helical elements and three loops (D, anti-codon, and T loops). Further hydrogen bonds mediate the characteristic L-shaped molecular structure. tRNAs have two regions of fundamental functional importance: the anti-codon, which is responsible for specific mRNA codon recognition, and the 3' end, to which the tRNAs corresponding amino acid is attached (by aminoacyl-tRNA synthetases). tRNAs cope with the degeneracy of the genetic code in two manners: having more than one tRNA (with a specific anti-codon) for a particular amino acid; and 'wobble' base-pairing, i.e. permitting non-standard base-pairing at the 3rd anti-codon position. The record is from RNAcentral. Lineage: Bacteria; Pseudomonadati; Bacteroidota; Cytophagia; Cytophagales.